AACGAACGCUGUCGGUAUGCUUAACACAUGCAAGUCGAACGGACUAAUUGGGGCUUGCUCCAAUUAGUGAGUGGCAGACGGGUGAGUAACGCGUGGGAAUCUACCCAUCAGUACGGAAUAACUUUUAGAAAUAAAAGCUAAUACCGUAUAUUCUCUACGGAGGAAAGAUUUAUCGCUGAUGGAUGAGCCCGCGUCAGAUUAGGUAGUUGGUGAGGUAAUGGCUCACCAAGCCGACGAUCUGUAGCUGGUUUGAGAGGAUGAUCAGCCACACUGGGACUGAGACAGGGCCCAGAGUCCUACGGGACGCAUCAUUGGGGAAUAUUGGACAAUGGGCGACAGCCUGAUCCAGCAAUACCGAGUGAGUGAUGAACGCCUUAGGGUUGUAGAACUCUUUUAGCCAGGAACAUAAUGACGUUCCCUGCAGAAACAGCCCCGGCUACACUCCGUGCCCCCAGCCGCGGUAACACGGCGGGGGCCACCGUUGUUCGUAAUUA
This 494-nucleotide ribosomal RNA is filed under the name uncultured bacterium. Its description in RNAcentral is "bacterial SSU rRNA". It matches the Rfam family "Bacterial small subunit ribosomal RNA", at positions 28 to 553 of the family's 1533-position model. The record is from RNAcentral.